UGAGGAAUAUUGGUCAAUGGGCGAGAGCCUGAACCAGCCAAGUAGCGUGAAGGAUGAAGGUCCUACGGAUUGUAAACUUCUUUUAUACGGGAAUAAAGUAUCCUACGUGUAGGAUUUUGUAUGUACCGUAUGAAUAAGCAUCGGCUAACUCCGUGCCAGCAGCCGCGGUAAUACGGAGGAUGCGAGCGUUAUCCGGAUUUAUUGGGUUUAAAGGGAGCGCAGACGGGAGAUUAAGUCAGUUGUGAAAGUUUGCGGCUCAACCGUAAAAUUGCAGUUGAUACUGGUUUCCCUGAGUGCAGUUGAGGCAGGCGGAAUUCGUGGUGUAGCGGUGAAAUGCUUAGAUAUCACGAAGAACCCCGAUUGCGAAGGCAGCUUGCUAAACUGUAACUGACGUUCAUGCUCGAAAGUGUGGGUAUCAAACAGGAUUAGAUACCCUGGUAGUCCACACGGUAAACGAUGGAUACUCGCUGUUUGCGAUAUACAGUAAGCGGCCAAGCGAAAGCGUUAAGUAUUCCACCUGGGGAGUACGCCGGCAACGGUGAAACUCAAAGGAAUUGACGGGGGCCCGCACAAGCGGAGGAACAUGUGGUUUAAUUCGAUGAUACGCGAGGAACCUUACCCGGGCUUGAAUUGCAACUGAAUGAUGUGGAGACAUGUCAGCCGCAAGGCAGUUGUGAAGGUGCUGCAUGGUUGUCGUCAGCUCGUGCCGUGAGGUGUCGGCUUAAGUGCCAUAACGAGCGCAACCCUUAUCGAUAGUUACCAUCAGGUUAUGCUGGGGACUCUGUCGAGACUGCCGUCGUAAGAUGUGAGGAAGGUGGGGAUGACGUCAAAUCAGCACGGCCCUUACGUCCGGGGCUACACACGUGUUACAAUGGGGGGUACAGAAGGCAGCUACACGGUGACGUGAUGCUAAUCCCUAAAGCCUCUCUCAGUUCGGAUUGGAGUCUGCAACCCGACUCCAUGAAGCUGGAUUCGCUAGUAAUCGCGCAUCAGCCACGGCGCGGUGAAUACGUUCCC
This 1017-nucleotide ribosomal RNA is filed under the name uncultured bacterium. RNAcentral describes it as "bacterial SSU rRNA". It matches the Rfam family "Bacterial small subunit ribosomal RNA", at positions 355 to 1375 of the family's 1533-position model. The record is from RNAcentral.